This 245-nucleotide ribosomal RNA is filed under the name uncultured bacterium. Its description in RNAcentral is "partial 16S ribosomal RNA". It matches the Rfam family "Bacterial small subunit ribosomal RNA", at positions 15 to 251 of the family's 1533-position model. The record is from RNAcentral.
GAUCCUGGCUCAGGAUGAACGCUAGCUACAGGCUUAACACAUGCAAGUCGAGGGGCAUCAGUUUGGUUUGCUUGCAAACCAAAGCUGGCGACCGGCGCACGGGUGAGUAACACGUAUCCAACCUGCCUCAUACUCGGGGAUAGCCUUUCGAAAGAAAGAUUAAUAUCCGAUAGCAUAUAUUUCCCGCAUGGGUUUUAUAUUAAAGAAUUCGGUAUGAGAUGGGGAUGCGUUCCAUUAGUUUGGUU